Molecule: ribosomal RNA, 170 nt
Filed under: Gammaproteobacteria bacterium
Lineage: Bacteria; Pseudomonadati; Pseudomonadota; Gammaproteobacteria
Description: partial 23S ribosomal RNA
Rfam family: Bacterial large subunit ribosomal RNA
Source: RNAcentral
GGGAUAACCGCUGAAAGCAUCUAAGCGGGAAGCCCCCCUCAAGAUGAGAUCUCACCAAAUCUUCUAGAUUUCUGAAGGGCCCUCGUAGACGACGAGGUUGAUAGGCAGGGUGUGUAAGCGUCGCAAGGCGUUGAGCUAACCUGUACUAAUUGCCCGUGCGGCUUGACCAU